AAGCAGCCCUGUGGCACAACAUGCAGGCUGGUGUGACAGGCAGAACUGACUUUUGUCUUUGUUAAACUUUUGUUGAUACUUUAUCUUAUACAACACACAGUAAAUAUUCUUUUCCAUCCAAGAAAGUCAGGGACCCAUGGGCGGUGUGACAUUCCUCUACAUUUACAUCAUAUGGCUGAUCACUUCUGUUGAUGCUCAGGUCAUAUCUGCCCGAGUGGGUUCCACAGCUGUCCUGCCCUGUGAACUGAGUAACACAUCCAAGCCGACAGUGUAUAUUCAAUGGCGCACUGAUUUUGCUGUUGUGUUUGAAAGAACGAGAAGGAAUUUAUACCAGGGUGAAAGAUAUACAGGCCGUGUGUACGUUCCUGAGAAGCAGCUGCUGAAAGGGAACUGUUCUCUGGUGCUGAAGAACGUGUGGUUUGAUGAUGCUGGAGUUUACUACAGCUACCUGUUCGUGAAACGCAGAAAGAGAUCUGUCACUCAUUUCAUCCAGAGAGUCGAACUCGAAGUUU
Molecule: long non-coding RNA, 512 nt
Organism: Pangasianodon hypophthalmus (striped catfish)
Lineage: Eukaryota; Metazoa; Chordata; Actinopteri; Siluriformes; Pangasiidae
Exons: 3
Source: RefSeq, a predicted model, not a curated record